Molecule: ribosomal RNA, 583 nt
Filed under: Torulaspora delbrueckii
Lineage: Eukaryota; Fungi; Ascomycota; Saccharomycetes; Saccharomycetales; Saccharomycetaceae
Description: eukaryotic LSU rRNA
Rfam family: Eukaryotic large subunit ribosomal RNA
Source: RNAcentral
CAGGGAUGCCUUAGUACGGCGAGUGAGCGGCAAAAGCUCAAAUUUGAAAUCUGGUACCUUCGGUGCCCGAGUUGUAAUUUGUAGAAGGUAACUUUGGGGCUGGUCCUUGUCUAUGUUCCUUGGAACAGGACGUCAUAGAGGGUGAGAAUCCCGUGUGGCGAGGAUCCCAGUUCUUUGUAAAGUGCUUUCGAAGAGUCGAGUUGUUUGGGAAUGCAGCUCUAAGUGGGUGGUAAAUUCCAUCUAAAGCUAAAUAUUGGCGAGAGACCGAUAGCGAACAAGUACAGUGAUGGAAAGAUGAAAAGAACUUUGAAAAGAGAGUGAAAAAGUACGUGAAAUUGUUGAAAGGGAAGGGCAUUUGAUCAGACAUGGUGUUUUGCGCCCUCUGCUCCUUGUGGGUGGGGGAAUCUCGCAGCUCACUGGGCCAGCAUCAGUUUUGGCGGCAGGAUAAAUCUGCAGGAAUGUAGCUUGCCUCGGUAAGUGUUAUAUCCUGUAGAAAUACUGCCAGCUGGGACUGAGGACUGCGACUUUACGUCAAGGAUGCUGGCAUAAUGGUUAUAUGCCGCCCGUCUUGAACCACGGACCA